GACAUCCCCCAGGCUAGAGGUCCCCAAGGCUAGAGCCUAAUCCCCCAGGCUACAGGCUAGACAUCCACUGGCUAGAGGCUAGACAUCCACCAGGCUAGAGGUUAGACAUACCCCAGGCUAGAUAUCCCCCAGGCUCGAGUCUAGCGGUUCCCCAGGCUAGAGGCUAGAUGUCCCCCAGGCUAGAGUCUAGAUGAGUCUGGUGACAUACACCAGGCUAAAGGCUAAUGGUCCCCCAAGCUAGCAGCUAGGUGUCCCCCAGGCUAGUGGCUAGAUGUCCUACAAGUCUAGGUGUCCCCAGGCUAUAGGCUAAGGGGUCCCGCAGGCUAGAGGCUAGAGUUCCACCAGGCUAGAGGCUAGAUGUCCUACAAGGCUAGUUGUCCCCAGGGUAGAGGCUAGGUGUCCCGCAGGCUAGAGGCUAGUGGUCCACCAGGCUACAGGCUAGACUUCCCCCAGGCUAGAGACUAGACAUCCCCAAGGUUAGAUGUCCCCCAGGCUAGAGUCUAGACGUCCGUCGGGCUAGAGGCUAGACGUCCCCCAGGCUAGAGGCUAGACAUCCCCUAGGCUAGA
Long non-coding RNA from Oncorhynchus tshawytscha (Chinook salmon), 567 nucleotides. Lineage: Eukaryota; Metazoa; Chordata; Actinopteri; Salmoniformes; Salmonidae. The record is from Ensembl.